RNAcentral lists this ribosomal RNA (492 nucleotides) under uncultured bacterium. RNAcentral's name for it is "partial 16S ribosomal RNA". It matches the Rfam family "Bacterial small subunit ribosomal RNA", at positions 29 to 507 of the family's 1533-position model. The record is from RNAcentral.
AGUGAACGCUGGCGGUAGGCCUAACACAUGCAAGUCGAACGGCAGCACAGUAAGAGCUUGCUCUUACGGGUGGCGAGUGGCGGACGGGUGAGGAAUACAUCGGAAUCUACUUUUUCGUGGGGGAUAACGUAGGGAAACUUACGCUAAUACCGCAUACGACCUACGGGUGAAAGCAGGGGAUCUUCGGACCUUGCGCGAUUGAAUGAGCCGAUGUCGGAUUAGCUAGUUGGCGGGGUAAAGGCCCACCAAGGCGACGAUCCGUAGCUGGUCUGAGAGGAUGAUCAGCCACACUGGAACUGAGACACGGUCCAGACUCCUACGGGAGGCAGCAGUGGGGAAUAUUGGACAAUGGGCGCAAGCCUGAUCCAGCAAUACCGCGUGGGUGAAGAAGGCCUUCUGGUUGUAAAGCCCUUUUGUUGGGAAAGAAAAGCAGCAGGUUAAUACCCCGCUGUUAUGACGGUACCCAAAGAAUAAGCACCGGCUAACUUCGUG